AGAGGCUGUAGCAGUUGCACUUUAAGCAUGUUAACUGCUGUGCUUCCUUGGUAUCAGGGUUGGUCAGAAGAGCAGAAUAGACUGUCACUUCUUUGAAGCGUGUCCAAGCUGAAGUGGGAAGCUUCACAAAAUUCCUGUGUCGGCCUGCUGAUCACAGACCUCUUCUCUUAGUUUCAAUCCACUUACCCAAGUCUUUUUGUACUUAUCCUUUUUUUGUAGGCUACUUUGAAGUCUGUAUGGUUACAUCUCCACUUUCUUGACUGGGAACUUCAGAAAUGGACCCUAGUUGGUUGCCUUUUAUCUCCCUGGUGUGGACAAGAAGGAGCACAGAGGUCUCCUCUCGAUCCGAUACCCAAUGGAACAUGGCAUAGUGAAGGACUGGAAUGAUACGGAGCGCAUUUGGCAGUACGUGUGUUCCAAAGAUCAGCUUCGGACUUCCUCAGAGGAGCAUCCUGUGCUGUUGACAGAAGCACCACUAAACCCACUCAAGAACAGAGAACGUGCUGCUGAACUGAAGUGUUUUUUGAGACCUUCAAUGUUCCAGCACUGUUCAUCUCCAUGCAGGCUGUGCUCAGUCUGUAAGUACCUCUCAUCUUCAAUGUGCACUUGCAAAAUGUUUCUUGAAAUCUUUUCUUUU
This is a long non-coding RNA of Tympanuchus pallidicinctus (lesser prairie-chicken), 637 nucleotides long. RefSeq lists it as uncharacterized. Lineage: Eukaryota; Metazoa; Chordata; Aves; Galliformes; Phasianidae. The transcript is spliced from 3 exons. The record is from RefSeq and is a predicted model, not a curated record.